Molecule: ribosomal RNA, 469 nt
Filed under: Streptococcus mutans
Lineage: Bacteria; Bacillati; Bacillota; Bacilli; Lactobacillales; Streptococcaceae
Description: bacterial SSU rRNA
Rfam family: Bacterial small subunit ribosomal RNA
Source: RNAcentral
GACGAACGCUGGCGGCGUGCCUAAUACAUGCAAGUGAGACGCAAGGGAACACACUGUGCUUGCACACCGUGUUUUCUUGAGUCGCGAACGGGUGAGUAACGCGUAGGUAACCUGCCUAUUAGCGGGGGAUAACUAUUGGAAACGAUAGCUAAUACCGCAUAAUAUUAAUUAUUGCAUGAUAAUUGAUUGAAAGAUGCAAGCGCAUCACUAGUAGAUGGACCUGCGUUGUAUUAGCUAGUUGGUAAGGUAAGAGCUUACCAAGGCGACGAUACAUAGCCGACCUGAGAGGGUGAUCGGCCACACUGGGACUGAGACACGGCCCAGACUCCUACGGGAGGCAGCAGUAGGGAAUCUUCGGCAAUGGACGAAAGUCUGACCGAGCAAUGCCGCGUGAGUGAAGAAGGUUUUCGGAUCGUAAAGCUCUGUUGUAAGUCAAGAACGUGUGUGAGAGUGGAAAGUUCACACAGGA